Molecule: ribosomal RNA, 402 nt
Filed under: uncultured bacterium
Lineage: Bacteria
Description: bacterial SSU rRNA
Rfam family: Bacterial small subunit ribosomal RNA
Source: RNAcentral
AGCGAACGUUAGCGGCGCGCCUAACACAUGCAAGUCGCACGAGAAAGGGGGCAACCCCCGGUACAGUGGCGCACGGGUGAGUAACACGUAGAUGACCUUCCCUGGAGUGGUGGAUAACCUGCCGAAAGGCGGGCUAAUACAGCAUGGGACCACACGGCUUUGGCCGAGUGGUGAAAGCGGGCCUCUGUUCACAAGCUCGCGCUCUGGGAUGGAUCUGCGGCCCAUCAGCUAGUUGGUGAGGUAACGGCUCACCAAGGCUACGACGGGUAGCUGGUCUGAGAGGAUGAUCAGCCACACUGGAACUGAGACACGGUCCAGACUCCUACGGGAGGCAGCAGUGGGGAAUCUUGCGCAAUGGGCGAAAGCCUGACGCAGCGACGCCGCGUGGGUGACGAAGGCCUC